ACGCCAGAAAACUACGAGCGCAAGCUUAAAACUCAAAGGACUUGACGGUGCCCCAUCUACCUAGAGGAGCCUGUUCUGUAAUUGAUAAUCCCCGAUACACCUCACCCCUUUUAGCUAAUCAGUUUGUAUACUUCCGUCGUAAGCCUAUCAUAUGAAUGCUUUAAUAGGCUUAAUAAUUUAAACAUUAAAACGUCAGGUCAAAGUGCAACCAAUAAAGAGGGAGAGAUGGGCUACAAUUUUUAAAUUAAAACAUACGAAAUAGCACCUGAAAAUUGCUAUGAAGGUGGAUUUAGAAGUAAAGU
RNAcentral lists this ribosomal RNA (302 nucleotides) under Hyperolius benguellensis (Bocage's sharp-nosed reed frog). RNAcentral's name for it is "partial 12S ribosomal RNA". It matches the Rfam family "Bacterial small subunit ribosomal RNA", at positions 869 to 1344 of the family's 1533-position model. The record is from RNAcentral. Lineage: Eukaryota; Metazoa; Chordata; Amphibia; Anura; Hyperoliidae.